This 253-nucleotide ribosomal RNA is filed under the name uncultured bacterium. RNAcentral describes it as "partial 16S ribosomal RNA". It matches the Rfam family "Bacterial small subunit ribosomal RNA", at positions 524 to 776 of the family's 1533-position model. The record is from RNAcentral.
UACAGAGGGGGCAAGCGUUGUUCGGAAUUACUGGGCGUAAAGGGCGCGUAGGCGGCCUGCUAAGUCGAACGUGAAAUCCCUGGGCUCAACCCAGGAACUGCGUCCGAUACUGGUUGGCUUGAAUCCGGGAGAGGGAUGUGGAAUUCCAAGUGUAGCGGUGAAAUGCGUAGAUAUCUGGAGGAACACCGGUGGCGAAGGCGACAUCCUGGACCGGCAUUGACGCUGAGGCGCGAAAGCCAGGGGAGCAAACGGG